This 253-nucleotide ribosomal RNA is filed under the name uncultured bacterium. Its description in RNAcentral is "partial 16S ribosomal RNA". It matches the Rfam family "Bacterial small subunit ribosomal RNA", at positions 524 to 776 of the family's 1533-position model. The record is from RNAcentral.
UACGGAGGGUGCGAGCGUUGUUCGGAAUUACUGGGCGUAAAGCGCGUGUAGGCGGUCUCCUAAGUCUGGUGUGAAAGCCCGGGGCUCAACCCCGGAAGUGCAUUGGAUACUGGGAGACUCGAGUACCGGAGAGGAGGGUGGAAUUCCUGGUGUAGCGGUGAAAUGCGUAGAUAUCAGGAGGAACACCGGUGGCGAAGGCGGCCCUCUGGACGGAUACUGACGCUGAGACGCGAAAGCGUGGGGAGCAAACAGG